This 451-nucleotide ribosomal RNA is filed under the name uncultured bacterium. RNAcentral describes it as "partial 16S ribosomal RNA". It matches the Rfam family "Bacterial small subunit ribosomal RNA", at positions 354 to 796 of the family's 1533-position model. The record is from RNAcentral.
GUGGGGAAUAUUGGACAAUGGGCGAAAGCCUGAUCCAGCCAUGCCGCGUGUGUGAAGAAGGCCUUUUGGUUGUAAAGCACUUUAAGCGAGGAGGAGGCUACCGAGAUUAAUACUCUUGGAUAGUGGACGUUACUCGCAGAAUAAGCACCGGCUAACUCUGUGCCAGCAGCCGCGGUAAUACAGAGGGUGCAAGCGUUAAUCGGAUUUACUGGGCGUAAAGCGCGCGUAGGUAGCCAAUUAAGUCAAAUGUGAAAUCCCCGAGCUUAACUUGGGAAUUGCAUUCGAUACUGGUUAGCUAGAGUAUGGGAGAGGAUGGUAGAAUUCCAGGUGUAGCGGUGAAAUGCGUAGAGAUCUGGAGGAAUACCGAUGGCGAAGGCAGCCAUCUGGCCUAAUACUGACACUGAGGUGCGAAAGCAUGGGGAGCAAACAGGAUUAGAAACCCUGGUAGUCC